GAUGAACGCUGGCGGCGUGCCUAAUACAUGCAAGUCGAGCGAACGGACGAGAAGCUUGCUUUUCUGAUGUUAGCGGCGGACGGGUGAGUAACACGUGGAUAACCUACCUAUAAGACUGGGAUAACUUCGGGAAACCGGCGCUAAUACCGGAUAAUAUUUUGAACCGCAUGGUUCAAAAGUGAAAGACGGUCUUGCUGUCACUUAUAGAUGGAUCCGCGCUGCAUUAGCUAGUUGGUAAGGUAACGGCUUACCAAGGCAACGAUGCAUAGCCGACCUGAGAGAGUGAUCGGCCACACGGGAGCGGGGACACGGUCCAGACUCCUACGAGAGGCAGCAGUAGGGAAUCUUCCGCAGUGGGCGAAAGCCUGACGGAGCAACGCGGCGUGAGUGGUGAAGGUCUUCGGAUCGGAAAACUCUGUUAUUAGGGAAGAACAUAUGUGUAAGUAACUGUGCACAGCUUGACGGUACCUAAUCAGAAAGCCACGGCUAACUACGUG
Molecule: ribosomal RNA, 497 nt
Filed under: uncultured bacterium
Lineage: Bacteria
Description: partial 16S ribosomal RNA
Rfam family: Bacterial small subunit ribosomal RNA
Source: RNAcentral